Molecule: ribosomal RNA, 1363 nt
Filed under: uncultured bacterium
Lineage: Bacteria
Description: bacterial SSU rRNA
Rfam family: Bacterial small subunit ribosomal RNA
Source: RNAcentral
AUUGAACGCUGGCGGCAGGCCUAACACAUGCAAGUCGAACGGUAACAGGAAGAAGCUUGCUUCUUUGCUGACGAGUGGUGGACGGGUGAGUAAUGUCUGGGAAACUGCCUGAUGGAGGGGGAUAACUACUGGAAACGGUAGCUAAUACCGCAUAACGUCGCAAGACCAAAGAGGGGGACCUUCGGGCCUCUUGCCAUCGGAUGUGCCCAGAUGGGAUUAGCUAGUAGGUGGGGUAACGGCUCACCUAGGCGACGAUCCCUAGCUGGUCUGAGAGGAUGACCAGCCACACUGGAACUGAGACACGGUCCAGACUCCUACGGGAGGCAGCAGUGGGGAAUAUUGCACAAUGGGCGCAAGCCUGAUGCAGCCAUGCCGCGUGUAUGAAGAAGGCCUUCGGGUUGUAAAGUACUUUCAGCGGGGAGGAAGGGAGUAAAGUUAAUACCUUUGCUCAUUGACGUUACCCGCAGAAGAAGCACCGGCUAACUCCGUGCCAGCAGCCGCGGUAAUACGGAGGGCGCAAGCGUUAAUCGGAAUUACUGGGCGUAAAGCGCACGCAGGCGGUUUGUUAAGUCAGAUGUGAAAUCCCCGGGCUCAACCUGGGAACUGCAUCUGAUACUGGCAAGCUUGAGUCUCGUAGAGGGGGGUAGAAUUCCAGGUGUAGCGGUGAAAUGCGCAGAGAUCUGGAGGAAUACCGGUGGCGAAGGCGGCCCCCUGGACGAAGACUGACGCUCAGGUGCGAAAGCGUGGGGAGCAAACAGGAUUAGAUACCCUGGUAGUCCACGCCGUAAACGAUGUCGACUUGGAGGUUGUGCCCUUGAGGCGUGGCUUCCGGAGCUAACGCGUUAAGUCGACCGCCUGGGGAGUACGGCCGCAAGGUUAAAACUCAAAUGAAUUGACGGGGGCCCGCACAAGCGGUGGAGCAUGUGGUUUAAUUCGAUGCAACGCGAAGAACCUUACCUGGUCUUGACAUCCACAGAACUUUCCAGAGAUGGAUUGGUGCCUUCGGGAACUGUGAGACAGGUGCUGCAUGGCUGUCGUCAGCUCGUGUUGUGAAAUGUUGGGUUAAGUCCCGCAACGAGCGCAACCCUUAUCUUUUGUUGCCAGCGGUCCGGCCGGGAACUCAAAGGAGACUGCCAGUGAUAAACUGGAGGAAGGUGGGGAUGACGUCAAGUCAUCAUGGCCCUUACGACCAGGGCUACACACGUGCUACAAUGGCGCAUACAAAGAGAAGCGACCUCGCGAGAGCAAGCGGACCUCAUAAAGUGCGUCGUAGUCCGGAUUGGAGUCUGCAACUCGACUCCAUGAAGUCGGAAUCGCUAGUAAUCGUGGAUCAGAAUGCCACGGUGAAUACGUUCCCGGGCCU